RNAcentral lists this ribosomal RNA (485 nucleotides) under Astropecten spinulosus. Its description in RNAcentral is "partial 12S ribosomal RNA". The record is from RNAcentral. Lineage: Eukaryota; Metazoa; Echinodermata; Asteroidea; Paxillosida; Astropectinidae.
UCUUAGCAACCGAUUGGUCCUAGUCCUAUACUUGGUCCUCUCUAAAUCGAUACAUGCAAGCUCAUAGCGGCACAGUGAGUAAUUAAACUAGUAGCCACCCUAAAAAGAUGUAGUUACAAGUAAAGGUAUCAAAAGACUUAUUCCCCAAUUUGACAACGCCUAGCCACCCACAUCUGCAGUACCUAACAUUAUACAAUAAGUAAAAACUUGAUAUAGUUAUAGACUUAAGAGUCGGUAAAUUAUGUGCCAGCCACCGCGGUUAUACAUAAGACUCGAGCCAAGAAAUCCACCCGGUCUAAAGGUGACUAAAGAUACACUUCGCUUUAAGGUAGAAAACCACUCUAGUAUUAAUAAGCUUUCACAGUAAACUAAUUACAAAUUUAACGUUACCUUAAACCCCACCUAACUUGAAGCACCAAAGCUCAAAAAUAAACUGGGAUUAGAUACCCCACUAUAUGAGCCCUAAAAAUUCGAAAACACCAGAG